AAGUUAGCGGGGACUUCGGUCCCAGCGGCGGACGGGUGAGUAACACGUAGGGAUCUACCUUCUGGUGGGGCAUAGCCGGGGGAAACCCCGAUUAAUACCGCAUGUGGCCUACGGGUCAAAGCCUUCGGGCGCCAGAAGAUGAGCCUGCGGCCGAUUAUUUAAUCCUAGUUGGUGGGGUAACGGCCUACCAAGGGUACGAUCGGUAGCUGGUCUGAGAGGACGAUCAGCCACACUGGAACUGAGACACGGUCCAGACUCCUACGGGAGGCAGCAGUGGGGAAUAUUGCGCAAUGGGCGAAAGCCUGACGCAGCCAACCCGCGUGGGUGAUGAAGGCCUUCGGGUCGUAAAGCCCUGUCGUGAGGGAAGAAACCUGACGGUACCUCACAAGAAAGCACCGGCUAACCCCGUGCCAGCAGCCGCGGUAAUACGGGGGGUGCAAGCGUUGCUCGGAAUCACUGGGCGUAAAGCGUCCGCAGGCGGCUUGACAAGUCGGGUGUGAAAGCCCGGGGCUCAACCCCGGAACUGCAUUCGAAACUGUCU
This 541-nucleotide ribosomal RNA is filed under the name uncultured bacterium. RNAcentral's name for it is "bacterial SSU rRNA". It matches the Rfam family "Bacterial small subunit ribosomal RNA", at positions 59 to 638 of the family's 1533-position model. The record is from RNAcentral.